This is a long non-coding RNA of Rhineura floridana, 1036 nucleotides long. RefSeq lists it as uncharacterized. The record is from RefSeq and is a predicted model, not a curated record. The transcript is spliced from 3 exons. Lineage: Eukaryota; Metazoa; Chordata; Lepidosauria; Squamata; Rhineuridae.
UGCCUGCAGGGGGAAGGAGACCACCACCGCCCAGAGAAGAAGGAGAGCCGUUUGCCUGCCUGCCUGCCUGCCUGCCUGCCUGCCUGCCUGCCUGCCUGCCUGCCUGCCUGCCUGCCUGCCUGCCUGCCUGCCUGCCUGCCUGCCUGCCUGCCUGCCUGCCUGCCUGCCUGCCUGCCUGCCUGCCUGCCUGCCUGCCUGCCUGCCUGCCUGCCUGCCUGUACUCGGCUACCACCACCACCCUCUUCCUGUUGGACUUCUGCUCUGCAGGGCUCACGUCUUGCAGGACCAGGCCCCCAGGUUAACAGAAGUUGGAAUUUUUUCUGGAAGCCAUUAACAUGGAAAUGAGCGCAAAAAUUCUACUUGAUUCCUUUAGAUUUCCAGAAGUGGCUUUUACAUCAUGUGAAAGAUAACAUAAAACACCAAAACACCGGUACAGCAAUCCUACAUCAAGGAAACCAGCAUAACUCAAGUCGGCUAAUGUUAUUCUGGCUUAAAAUAUGCUAGAUCCUAACUCUAUCAGGAGCCCGUGGAAGAGGAGAAUUCUAGCUCAGCCAGCAGCCUUUUUCUUGGCUUAAAUUAUGCUGGGACUGGAGGUCGCAUGAAUGAGUUGAAUGGUUGUAGGAAAUGGUGUAUGUUCCUUUCCCCUCAGUCCCCCCCCGAGCACCACUUUUGGGGGACUUACGCUGGCUUUUUGCUGGUCUUGGCUGAGCCAGCUGAGCCGGGAGGGGCGAGAUUUGCCAGCUCAGCCCCGGCUGAGCUGGGGUGAGUGACUUAUUUUGGCAUAGCCUGGCUAAGACAGGACCCAAUUGACUCAGCCAGACAGCCACUGAAUCCUCAGUCCGGCAUAAAUACCUAUAGGUUUGCACCCUUACAAAUUUAAAAUGGAUUAGUUUUUGCAUUUUAUUUUCUUGUAAAUCACUUUGGGGGAAUUUUUUGAGAUUCAAAAGGCAGUAUAAAAAUGUUGCAAUAAAUGAAGAUUUUUGAAACAACACCACUUUCCUAUCAACACCAUUUUAGCACCAUGGAGGGCUGUAGA